This 103-nucleotide transfer RNA is filed under the name Mycosarcoma maydis (corn smut). RNAcentral's name for it is "tRNA-Glu for anticodon CUC". It matches the Rfam family "tRNA". Rfam says of the family: Transfer RNA (tRNA) molecules are approximately 80 nucleotides in length. Their secondary structure includes four short double-helical elements and three loops (D, anti-codon, and T loops). The record is from RNAcentral. Lineage: Eukaryota; Fungi; Basidiomycota; Ustilaginomycetes; Ustilaginales.
UCCCAGUUAGUACAAUGGUUAGUAUAGGGCACUCUCAGAAUCAGGCGGAUAACCCGUCCUAUACUGAACUGCUCAGAUCAGGGUUCGAUUCCCUGGCCGGGAA